AUUGAACGCUGGCGGCAGGCCUAACACAUGCCAGUCGAGCGGAUGAAGGGAGCUUGCUCCUGGAUUCAGCGGCGGACGGGUGAGUAAUGCCUAGGAAUCUGCCUGGUAGUGGGGGAUAACGUCCGGAAACGGGCGCUAAUACCGCAUACGUCAUGAGGGAGAAAGUGGGGGAUCUUCGGACCUCACGCUAUCAGAUGAGCCUAGGUCGCAUUAGCUAGUUGGUGGGGUAAAGGCCUACCAAGGCGACGAUCCGUAACUGGUCUGAGAGGAUGAUCAGUCACACUGGAACUGAGACACGGUCCAGACUCCUACGGGAGGCAGCAGUGGGGAAUAUUGGACAAUGGGCGAAAGCCUGAUCCAGCCAUGCCGCGUGUGUGAAGAAGGUCUUCGGAUUGUAAAGCACUUUAAGUUGGGAGGAAGGGCAGUAAGUUAAUACCUUGCUGUUUUGACGUUACCAACAGAAUAAGCACCGGCUAACUUCGUG
This 484-nucleotide ribosomal RNA is filed under the name uncultured bacterium. RNAcentral describes it as "partial 16S ribosomal RNA". It matches the Rfam family "Bacterial small subunit ribosomal RNA", at positions 30 to 507 of the family's 1533-position model. The record is from RNAcentral.